CAAGAGAGACCAACAAAGAAAAAUUCGCUCAUCUGCUUGUGGAUUCUGAUCAUGGUUUUGUUCAGCACUAAAUUAUCCAAUAACUGUGGAAACACACACACACACACACACAAGAAGACUUGAGUCGUGUUUAGCUUGGUUGAAGUUCGUACAUUCAAUAGUAAGUAACACGGGAUCGCAACCAUCUCAGAAAAAAUAAAUACCAUGGACGGACAUUCCUACCACUAGAAACCAACCUUUUGCUGGCUUUUCUUCUGGCAAAAAAAACUC
This 270-nucleotide long non-coding RNA is filed under the name Phoenix dactylifera (date palm). Its description in RNAcentral is "long non-coding RNA (PDAC_LNC022818)". Lineage: Eukaryota; Viridiplantae; Streptophyta; Magnoliopsida; Arecales; Arecaceae. The record is from RNAcentral.